This 398-nucleotide ribosomal RNA is filed under the name uncultured bacterium. RNAcentral describes it as "partial 16S ribosomal RNA". It matches the Rfam family "Bacterial small subunit ribosomal RNA", at positions 360 to 776 of the family's 1533-position model. The record is from RNAcentral.
AAUAUUUCACAAUGGAGCAAACUCUGAUGCAGCGACGCCCCGGGAGUGAAGAAGGUCCUUGGAGCGUAAAACUCUGUCCUUGGUGGAGAUAAUGACGGUAGCCAAGGAGGAAGCCCCGGCUAACCACGUGCCACCAGCCGCGGUAAUACGUAGGGGGCUAGCGUUGUCCGGAUUUACUGGGGGGAAAGGGUGUGUAGGCGGUUAUGUAAGUCAGGUGUAAAAGGCGUGGGGUUAACUUACGUUAGCAUUUGAAACUGCAUAACUUGAGUGCGGGAGAGGUAAGUGGAAUUCCUAGUGUAGCGGUGGAAUGCGUAGAUAUUAGGAGGAAAACCAGUGGCGAAGGCGACUUACUGGACCGUAACUGACGCUGAGUCACGAAAGCGUGGGUAGCAAACAGG